RNAcentral lists this ribosomal RNA (253 nucleotides) under uncultured bacterium. RNAcentral's name for it is "partial 16S ribosomal RNA". It matches the Rfam family "Bacterial small subunit ribosomal RNA", at positions 524 to 776 of the family's 1533-position model. The record is from RNAcentral.
UACAGAGGUCUCAAGCGUUGUUCGGAUUCAUUGGGCGUAAAGGGUGCGUAGGCGGCGCGGUAAGUCGGGUGUGAAAUCUCGGAGCUUAACUCCGAAACUGCAUUCGAUACUACCGUGCUUGAGGACUGGAGAGGAGACUGGAAUUUACGGUGUAGCGGUGAAAUGCGUAGAUAUCGUAAGGAAGACCAGUGGCGAAGGCGGGUCUCUGGACAGUUCCUGACGCUGAGACGCGAAAGCGUGGGGAGCAAACAGG